CCUACGGGCGGCAGCAGUGAGGAAUAUUGGUCAAUGGCCGUAAGGCUGAACCAGCCAAGUAGCGUGAGGGAAGACUGCCCUAUGGGUUGUAAACCUCUUUUAUGCGGGGAUAAAGGUGUCCACGUGUGGAUGUUUGCAGGUACCGCAUGAAUAAGGACCGGCUAAUUCCGUGCCAGCAGCCGCGGUAAUACGGAGGGUCCGUGCGUUAUCCGGAUUUAUUGGGUUUAAAGGGAGCGUAGGCCGGUCUUUAAGCGUGCCGUGAAAUUUUGUGGCUCAACCAUGAGAGUGCGGCGCGAACUGGAGACCUUGAGGGCGCGGAAGGCAGGCGGAAUGCGUGGGGGAGCGGUGAA
Molecule: ribosomal RNA, 350 nt
Filed under: uncultured bacterium
Lineage: Bacteria
Description: partial 16S ribosomal RNA
Rfam family: Bacterial small subunit ribosomal RNA
Source: RNAcentral